Molecule: non-coding RNA, 71 nt
Organism: Parelaphostrongylus tenuis
Lineage: Eukaryota; Metazoa; Nematoda; Chromadorea; Rhabditida; Metastrongylidae
Source: the annotation of a GenBank genome assembly
GCGGCGGUAGUGCAACGGUUAGCAUGCGCUCCGGGAACGAGUGAAUCCGGGUUCGAAUCUUGGCUGACGCA